CGAUGCAGCAGGAGCAGAGAGCAGCCAUUGCUGUGUCUGGUAGCAGACAAUCCAGCUGUGAGGAGCGAGAGGUGUUAUUACAAGGAGCACUCAGAAUGGAAAAGGACAAGAAACACAAGACUGAUUUGAUAAUAAAUCUCACACUGGAAAUAAUCUACCUGCUGACUGGGGAGGGUUACACAGUAGAGAAGAAGACAUCUGGUGAGUAUGAGACACCCAGCAGCCAUCCCUGCCUGUCAGGAGGACUGAGCAGGAUCCAGAGCCCCAUCAUGGUGCCUCCACCUCACUCACUGAUACAUAAGAGGCACAAUGACCAGAAGAUCCUGGAACUCACCCACAAGAUCAUUCAGCU
Molecule: long non-coding RNA, 352 nt
Organism: Pseudophryne corroboree (corroboree frog)
Lineage: Eukaryota; Metazoa; Chordata; Amphibia; Anura; Myobatrachidae
Exons: 3
Source: RefSeq, a predicted model, not a curated record